Orcinus orca (killer whale) is the source of this 1284-nucleotide long non-coding RNA. RefSeq lists it as uncharacterized. The record is from RefSeq and is a predicted model, not a curated record. The transcript has 2 exons. NCBI's taxonomy places the organism in Eukaryota, Metazoa, Chordata, Mammalia, Artiodactyla, Delphinidae.
ACAAGCUAUCUACCUAUUUUGCACUAUAUGAAAAGUAGUAUGUUUUUAUUUUUAAAACAAAAAAUACUCAACUAUAUUAAGUAAAAAGGAAGUUUCUCUUUCCCUCAACCCAACCAGCCCAUUUCCCAGGAGAUAUCUACUAUUUCCUGUAGCUCCUUCUGGAAUCUUCUCUUGGCUUUUACAAAUAUAAGUACAAACACAUCAAUAACACAGAUAUAUACAUACACAAUGCGAGUAGAUGUUUGUCUGUUAAAUUACAAAUAUGUGGAGUGAGGCUAUAGCUUUUUUGGUGUUGAAAGGUGUCUUCAUGAGGCAAUAUAGCAAUCUAUAUCAAAAGCUUUCAAAUGUAAUUUGGCCAUUCUACUUUUAGGAAUUUAUGCUAAGAAAUAUGAUUUAGCUCAAGGACACUUAUCUUGUCCUUGUUAUUAAAAAGUAACUCAAAAUGAUAAUUAUCUAAUUCUAUAAUAGUAGAAGAAGGCAUGGAAAGAAGGCAUAUCAUACUGGAAAACAAUGAAGCUUUUUAAAAUGUGUGAUAGAAUUGUGUUUAUUGAUCAGGGAUGGGCUGCAACACCAUAUUUGUAAAAAUCAUAUAUCCUGGAUUUUUGUUUGUUUGUUUAUAUCUCUGUUACUAUGAGAUCUUUAAGGACGAAGACUUCUCCUUAACUAUCUCCCAGCACUCAGCACAGUUCCAGACAUGCAGUAACCACAAAACAAACAUUUAUUCCUUGUUAAAGCUGAAAAAAUAUAUCUGUGUGUGUAUGAAACAUGGAAGCUUUUAUUUUAAAGGUUAACGUGGUUAUCUGGGUAAUGGGAUAAUUUAUGGAUAAUAAAUUAUCCAUAUUUCUGAGUUUUUUUUAUAAUGAACAUUAUUAGUUGUGUAACAAAAUAAAAGAAGAAGUUUCUGUGCUCAAAAAGUCAGGACACACAGGUCUGUGACAUGCUUUUCCCUCUGGAAGGACAAGCCUGAAAGCAGAGACCCUGGAAAUUUACCGUCUAAGGAAGGGAAGUCUGGGCAGAGCUAAGUACACAGUCUCUGUGUUGUGCAGGGUUUGGGGACCUGGGCAGGGCUGUGUGCUCUUACCUCCUGGGUCCUGGACUGAAGAGCAGACUCGACUACAUCCCCUCUUGAUACAUUGUUCUCCAGCUCCACAGUCCCAGUCUCCUCGGCAGCGCUCCAUACAGAUUUCUAACAUCAGAAAAGGCUCAGUGAGUUGGUGGAAAUGUAAAUUGGUACAGCUGCUGUGGAGAACAGUGUGGAGGUUCCUCAAAAAACUAAAAAUAGAA